UAGGGAAUCUUCCACAAUGGACGCAAGCCUGAUGGAGCAACGCCGCGUGAGUGAAGAAGGUUUUCGGACCGUAAAGCUCUGUUGUUGGUGAAGAAGGAUAGAGGUAGUAACUGGCCUUUAUUUGACGGUAAUCAACCAGAAAGUCACGGCUAACUACGUGCCAGCAGCCGCGGUAAUACGUAGGUGGCAAGCGUUGUCCGGAUUUAUUGGGCGUAAAGCGAGCGCAGGCGGAAGAAUAAGUCUGAUGUGAAAGCCCUCGGCUUAACCGAGGAAUUGCAUCGGAAACUGUUUUCUUGAGUGCAGAAGAGGAGAGUAGAACUCCAUGUGUAGCGGUGGAAUGCGUAGAUAUAUGGAAGAAUACCAGUGGCGAAGGCGGCUCUCUGGUCUGCAACUGACGCUGAGGCUCGAAAGCAUGGGUAGCGAACAGGAUUAGAUACCCUGGUAGUCCAUGCCGUAAACGAUGAGUGCUAAGUGUUGGGAGGCUUCCGCCUCUCAGUGCUGCAGCUAACGCAUUAAGCACUCCGCCUGGGGGAGUACGACCGCAAGGUUGAAAC
This 554-nucleotide ribosomal RNA is filed under the name uncultured bacterium. RNAcentral describes it as "partial 16S ribosomal RNA". It matches the Rfam family "Bacterial small subunit ribosomal RNA", at positions 355 to 900 of the family's 1533-position model. The record is from RNAcentral.